GACGAACGCUGGCGGCGUGCUUAACACAUGCAAGUCGAACGGAAAGGCCCUGCUUUUGUGGGGUGCUCGAGUGGCGAACGGGUGAGUAACACGUGAGUAACCUGCCCUUGACUUUGGGAUAACUUCAGGAAACUGGGGCUAAUACCGGAUAGGAGCUCCUGCUGCAUGGUGGGGGAUGGAAAGUUUCGGCGGUUGGGGAUGGACUCGCGGCUUAUCAGCUUGUUGGUGGGGUAGUGGCUGACCAAGUCUUUGACGGGUAGCCGGCCUGAGAGGGUGACCGGCCACAUGGGGACUGAGAUACGGCCCAGACUCCUACGGGAGGCAGCAGUGGGGAAUAUUGCACAAUGGGCGGAAGCCUGAUGCAGCAACGCCGCGUGCGGGAUGACGGCCUUCGGGUGGUAAACCGCUUUCGCCUGUGACGAAGCGUGAGUGACGGUAAUGGGUAAAGAAGCACCGGCUAACUACGUG
Molecule: ribosomal RNA, 468 nt
Filed under: uncultured bacterium
Lineage: Bacteria
Description: partial 16S ribosomal RNA
Rfam family: Bacterial small subunit ribosomal RNA
Source: RNAcentral